GAUGAACGCUAGCGGCAGGCCUAACACAUGCAAGUCGAGGGGUAGACAUCUUCGGAUGUUGAGACCGGCGCACGGGUGCGUAACGCGUAUGCAAUCUACCUUAUACUAAGGGAUAGCCCAGAGAAAUUUGGAUUAAUACCUUAUGGUUAAUUAAAAAGGCAUCUUUUUAAUUAUAAAGAUUUAUUGGUAUAAGAUGAGCAUGCGUCCCAUUAGUUAGUUGGUAAGGUAACGGCUUACCAAGACGAUGAUGGGUAGGGGUCCUGAGAGGGAGAUCCCCCACACUGGUACUGAGACACGGACCAGACUCCUACGGGAGGCAGCAGUGAGGAAUAUUGGUCAAUGGAGGCAACUCUGAACCAGCCAUGCCGCGUGCAGGAUGAAGCAUCUAUGGUGUGUAAACUGCUUUUGUACGGGAAGAAAAAAAGCUACGUGUAGCUUACUGACGGUACCGUAAGAAUAAGGAUCGGCUAACUCCGUGCCAGCAGCCGCAGUAA
This 494-nucleotide ribosomal RNA is filed under the name uncultured bacterium. RNAcentral's name for it is "partial 16S ribosomal RNA". It matches the Rfam family "Bacterial small subunit ribosomal RNA", at positions 28 to 523 of the family's 1533-position model. The record is from RNAcentral.